RNAcentral lists this long non-coding RNA (206 nucleotides) under Capsicum annuum. RNAcentral's name for it is "long non-coding RNA (CANN_LNC018595)". Lineage: Eukaryota; Viridiplantae; Streptophyta; Magnoliopsida; Solanales; Solanaceae. The record is from RNAcentral.
UAAAAUAUUUUUUCCACCACGAGAUGGAGUCGACUUCAUAUCACAAAUGUCAGUAUGGAUUAAGUCUAAGGGAUUGGAAUUCCUUUCAACGGACUUAUACAAAUGCUAAGCUUACUUUGAUUCCACACACGUUUGACUGUACUCAAAGUUUGGCAAAACUUCUAAGUUAAUCAGUUUUCACAAUGUUAAUGCCUAAUCAUUCAUAC